CGGUCCUAAGGUAGCGAAAUUCCUUGUCGGGUAAGUUCCGACCUGCACGAAUGGCAUAACGAUGGCCACACUGUCUCCUCCCGAGACUCAGUGAAGUUGAAAUGUUUGUGAUGAUGCAAUCUCCCCGCGGCUAGACGGAAAGACCCCAUGAACCUUUACUGUAGCUUUACAUUGGACUUUGAACCGAUCUGUGUAGGAUAGGCGGGAGGCUGUGAACGAAGUACGCCAGUACGUCGGGAGCCGACGUUGAAAUACCGCCCUGAUUUGUUUGAGGUUCUAACCGCGAUCGGUCAUCCCGGUCCGGGACCGUGUAUGGUAGGCAGUUUGACUGGGGCGGUCUCCUCCUAAAGGGUAACGGAGGAGUACAAAGGUACGCUAGGUACGGUCGGAAAUCGUGCUGAUAGUGCAAUGGCAUAAGCGUGCUUGACUGCGAGACCGACAAGUCGAGCAGAUGCGAAAGCAGGUCAUAGUGAUCCGGUGGCUUCUGAAUGGAAGGGCCAUCGCUCAACGGAUAAAAGGUACUCUGGGGAUAACAGGCUGAUACCGCCCAAGAGUUCAUAUCGACGGCGGUGUUUGGCACCUCGAUGUCGGCUCAUCUCAUCCUGGGGCUGAAGUCGGUCCCAAGGGUAUGGCUGUUCGCCAUUUAAAGAGGUACGUGAGCUGGGUUCAAAACGUCGUGAGACAGUUUGGUCCCUAUCUGCCGUGGGCGCUGGAAGAUUGACGGGGGCUGCUCCUAGUACGAGAGGACCGGAGUGGACGCACCUCUGGUGUAUCGGUUGUGACGCCAGUCGCAUUGCCGAGUAGCUAUGUGCGGAAGAGAUAACCGCUGAAAGCAUCUAAGCGGGAAACUUGCCUGAAGAUAAGUCUUCCCGGAGGCUUGACCUCCCAAAAGAGUCGUUCGAGACCAGGACGUUGAUAGGUCGAAUGUGUAAGCGCUGUGAGGCGUUGAGCUAAUCGAUACUAAUUGCUCGUGAGACUUGAUCCU
RNAcentral lists this ribosomal RNA (985 nucleotides) under human gut metagenome. RNAcentral's name for it is "bacterial LSU rRNA". It matches the Rfam family "Bacterial large subunit ribosomal RNA", at positions 1946 to 2925 of the family's 2925-position model. The record is from RNAcentral.